GACGAACGCUGGCGGCGUGCCUAAUACAUGCAAGUAGAACGCUGAAGAGAGGAGCUUGCUCUUCUUGGAUGAGUUGCGAACGGGUGAGUAACGCGUAGGUAACCUGCCUUGUAGCGGGGGAUAACUAUUGGAAACGAUAGCUAAUACCGCAUAACAAUGGAUGACACAUGUCAUUUAUUUGAAAGGGGCAAUUGCUCCACUACAAGAUGGACCUGCGUUGUAUUAGCUAGUAGGUGAGGUAAUGGCUCACCUAGGCGACGAUACAUAGCCGACCUGAGAGGGUGAUCGGCCACACUGGGACUGAGACACGGCCCAGACUCCUACGGGAGGCAGCAGUAGGGAAUCUUCGGCAAUGGGGGCAACCCUGACCGAGCAACGCCGCGUGAGUGAAGAAGGUUUUCGGAUCGUAAAGCUCUGUUGUAAGUCAAGAACGGGUGUGAGAGUGGAAAGUUCACGCUGUGACGGUAGCUUACCAGAAAGGGACGGCUAACUACGUGCCAGCAGCCGCGGUAAUACGUAGGUCCCGAGCGUUGUCCGGAUUUAUUGGGCGUAAAGCGAGCGCAGGCGGUUUGAUAAGUCUGAAGUUAAAGGCUGUGGCUCAACCAUAGUUCGCUUUGGAAACUGUCAAACUUGAGUGCAGAAGGGGAGAGUGGAAUUCCAUGUGUAGCGGUGAAAUGCGUAGAUAUAUGGAGGAACACCGGUGGCGAAAGCGGCUCUCUGGUCUGUAACUGACGCUGAGGCUCGAAAGCGUGGGGAGCGAACAGGAUUAGAUACCCUGGUAGUCCACGCCGUAAACGAUGAGUGCUAGGUGUUGGAUCCUUUCCGGGAUUCAGUGCCGCAGCUAACGCAUUAAGCACUCCGCCUGGGGAGUACGACCGCAAGGUUGAAACUCAAAGGAAUUGACGGGGGCCCGCACAAGCGGUGGAGCAUGUGGUUUAAUUCGAAGCAACGCGAAGAACCUUACCAGGUCUUGACAUCCCGAUGCUAUUUCUAGAGAUAGAAAGUUACUUCGGUACAUCGGUGACAGGUGGUGCAUGGUUGUCGUCAGCUCGUGUCGUGAGAUGUUGGGUUAAGUCCCGCAACGAGCGCAACCCCUAUUGUUAGUUGCUAUCAUUAAGUUGGGCACUCUAGCGAGACUGCCGGUAAUAAACCGGAGGAAGGUGGGGAUGACGUCAAAUCAUCAUGCCCCUUAUGACCUGGGCUACACACGUGCUACAAUGGUUGGUACAACGAGUUGCGAGUCGGUGACGGCGAGCUAAUCUCUUAAAGCCAAUCUCAGUUCGGAUUGUAGGCUGCAACUCGCCUACAUGAAGUCGGAAUCGCUAGUAAUCGCGGAUCAGCACGCCGCGGUGAAUACGUUCCCGGGCCU
This 1369-nucleotide ribosomal RNA is filed under the name uncultured bacterium. RNAcentral describes it as "bacterial SSU rRNA". It matches the Rfam family "Bacterial small subunit ribosomal RNA", at positions 28 to 1381 of the family's 1533-position model. The record is from RNAcentral.